GAUACCGUCACAGCUGUCAACGCGCGCAAAGAGGACGGAAAAAGUGUGUGUGUGGCCACCAGCGUAAACACGCGCGCGGUUCGUUCACCAUUUUCACCAAGCAUAGUACGGACGUGGAACGAGUUUUCGGAGGAGAUUUUUGCGGAUUUGUUGAGGAAAAAAAGAAACCUCGAAGAAGUCCAGCGAGCUGCUCUGCCGUUGUACCGUCAGUUGGGGCGAAACUGUACUUUGGUGAUCCGAAGAGUGCAAGAAGGAGGGAAAGGAAGAGGAAGUGGAGGAGUUGUGAAGGAAAGAGGAAAAGUUAACGUAGGAAAGGAGACCAAUUAAUUUUGUAGCUGCUCGAAGAGCUGCUGAACAAAAAGUUGGGGUUUUAUUUACCGACCACCCGAACA
Molecule: long non-coding RNA, 392 nt
Organism: Culex quinquefasciatus (southern house mosquito)
Lineage: Eukaryota; Metazoa; Arthropoda; Insecta; Diptera; Culicidae
Exons: 5
Source: RefSeq, a predicted model, not a curated record